Non-coding RNA from Phoenix dactylifera (date palm), 941 nucleotides. Lineage: Eukaryota; Viridiplantae; Streptophyta; Magnoliopsida; Arecales; Arecaceae. The record is from RefSeq and is a predicted model, not a curated record.
CGCUGGGAGCCAUCGCGACAUUCUCGUGGGCGUCCUUCCGGUUCCACACCGGCUGAUGAAACUCCUUUAUAAGAGCCCGGAGGUUAAGGUUGUGGCGAUGGAUUGGAUUCUGAGGCACCAUGGUGUUGGGCUUGGAUCGAUUCUAUUGCUUCUCUUCUCUAAAUGCUCUUCGUGAAUCAAUAGCUCACCAAAUUUGUUAAAGGAACAGCUGGAGAUUUAAUGUAGUUUCUUCUCCAAGAACUAGUGCCAAUAAUGUUGGCUCUAAAUAUCAGGAUUACUUGAAAUUAUUUGAGGUUCCUUUCACUCUGGAGGGUUCUAGUCGUUCUUUUUGUGGUUUCUAGUUUGAACAUCAAGAUUAUGGGGGCCAUCUGUUGUGUGGCUGCUCCAAGGAAGAAACCUUUGUUUUCCUAUUACAAGAUGAGCGGCAGUCAUUCUGCUCAUAAGAAUGCUGGAUGCUCCUCUAGAUGGAGCUUUCUACGUGGCAACCGAACUCAUACAAUGGAUGUUUUCGACAACCAUUCUGAGUUUUGUCAUCACAACAGUGGGAAUAUGGACUCAGAAUUUAAGCAUCGCAUAGAAACAGAUCAUGAAGGUCUUCUAGCUGGGAAGACAUCGGUAGCAGCUUCUCAGGCACUCAGACAACUGAAGUCUCCUGAUUAAUUGAGCAUUGGUUGUAGCUCCAAAGUGGCUGCUGAAGAUGGAUCCAUCAGAAGAAAUUUACCCUUCAAUCAUAGGAAAGAGACUCCAGUAGAUCACAAGUAAUUGCAACAUGUAUUGAGCCAUCAAUUUCUCCAUCUACAUCGGCUUCUAAAGCAGGCCCAUCAUCUUUGAAGACAAGCCAAACAUCAAGUAUGAUAUCAAGACUACUCUCUGAUAACAGAGUUCCACCUGUCAAAUCUUUAAAUGAGGACAGCUCUCUUGAAGGAAGGUAGUCUUUUGUU